UGGAGAAGGGGAGCACGUGCAAAGGGUUUAGAAAUGGGUGAGUUUGCACGUGCCCUGCUUCUCCAAC
This is a non-coding RNA of Cucumis sativus (cucumber), 67 nucleotides long. The record is from Rfam. Lineage: Eukaryota; Viridiplantae; Streptophyta; Magnoliopsida; Cucurbitales; Cucurbitaceae.